AUCUUCAAAAUAAAACUUUAUUCGGUAACAAGAACAUUGAAUCUGCGCAUCAGUGCACAAGUUCACAUUUAAAAACAGCUGAGCACAUCGGUCAUAAAGUCUUUAGGGGGGAAGGGGACGAUCCCAGCCACCAAGGAAGAUCCAGGAGGAGCAGACGGAAGCGCCCCCCGGUUUGCAACUCCAGCACCAGCCACCCCCGAGGUGAUCCCUACGCACCAGCACGGACGUCACAUCUCCAUAAAGGAAAAUAAAAGGCACUGGCACCACCUUUUGUGCCAACAGAGAUGUCUGCAGCGCGGGCGGGCUGUUAGCACCUCUGGCAGCACUGCUGGAGGGUGACCAAGAGCCUGGACCCCUCCCGUGCCAGGCCAGCGCCUGCCUCUGUCCCACACCAGCAAGGGCUUGGGGGGGUCCCUCCCUUAGGGAGAAGCAUGGGGGGGGUGCAUGGAGCUGGGACCAGAUUAAGGCAGGACGCACCAUGAUGGGAGCAGGGGACCUGCAGUGGGUAUGGCUUCCUCCUUCUGCUGGGCUGGGAGAGUGCUUGGAGCCGGGAGCAGCAGCAGUGCCCCAGUGCCAAUCCCCCCCUCCCAGGAGCUCCCCGGAGCAGCUGGAGCUGCGCUGGGUUCCCUUCCACCAGCCCUUCGCUGGCAAAGGGACACGGAGCUAACCCCUGCCCCAUCACCUCCCGACCCCCUCCUGCCACCGCGCUGGGACCGUGCCCCCAGGAAAGGGCUGAAAGGAGAUUUGUACAGGUCACAACUUCUCAAGCAGACCAGACACACACACACACACACCACCGAGUGCAACAGAACAGUGUACAAACCAGGUUCACACACACACGAUCCGUUUGUGCAAGGCUCACACGUUACAGUACAGCCGGAGCCGGGGCGGGCGAGGGGAGGCGAUGGCUGAGAUAUUGUACAGGAGUCAAUGUAAACAACGCAGCGUCCUCCGAGAGGGCUUCGCAAGACCAAAAGAACAGUUGCUUUGUACAAAAAUGCCCUUAAAACAACACGUUUCGCCUAAAACCCCUCUAUCAGCAAGGCCUGAGCUCCCCGGGGUGCUCAGCGGGUCACAAGAAGCUCUCAUGGGGUGGCCAAAGGAACUGGAGUGAACCACCACACAUCCAUGAGCCAUCAGUGUGAAGGGACAACCAUCCCCAGGCAGAGACCUCUGAUGCCAGGGGCUUGGUGGCUUUAUUGCCCAGAGACCGGAGAGCUGCAUGUGACAUGUCCCUCCAGCCCCUUCCCCUUUCUGCCAUCCCGGUCUGAGCCUCCAUCCAGCCCUCCAACACCUUCACAGCUCUGCAAUGGAACCACCUUCCCCAACUCCCUUCGAUUAAAACCACAGAUUAAAACCAGAGCCAUGCUGGGACAGAGCUGAGCCCUUUGGCUGCUCUCCCCAGCUGAAGCACUCAGACAGCAGUAGAGUAGUGGAAGGAAGCAGCAUUUCUGGUCUGCAUGGAAGAGCCUUUCUAUAGGGAAUUUCUCCUGAGAUCAAGCUGGGCAAAGAAACCAGCUUCCCUUCCUCCUCCUCCCUUCUCAAGGGAACAAAUUACACACAGAGCUUUCCCCUCCCAAGCAGAUCCUUGUCACCAGGAGAUGCAGCCAGCCACGCACGCUGCUCCCUCCAACGCAGGGCAGGCCUGGUGGCACCCUGUCCCUUCCAAGGAGCAGGCAGAUGUGUCCUUGGGAAUGGUGGGCAGUGGGGUCUGGGGAGGUUUAUGGGGGAGGCAAGGCCUGGAAUUGUCCUUCACACGAUGACAUGAGCCACUUGGCCUUUCCACAGUGCUUGCCCAGCUCCGGAGCCAGCUGGAGCUGGCUAGGAGAAGCCAAAUGUCUUUCCAUGUCCCAAAGAAGUAUCUGGCCUCCUGGGCGAGGGACUUGGGUGGCUUCUAGUGACCGAAAUGGCCUGCAAUGACGUGCUAUGUGACCCAAGCUGGGCUACUUCGGGCUGUGCUCCAGCCCGCAGCUAGCACGGGUGACAGAGCCCAAGCUCCUUGGGAAGGAGGGAUGAAGCACGUGCUACUGCUGGAGGACAGACACACAGCCCCAUGCUGUGGGAAUGGGGGACAAUCCUUGGGAGCUACAGGAGAGCAGGGAGGUGGGAUCCUCACCUGUGGGGUUAUGGACACCCCUUCCCCAGGGCAGACACAUGCUGCUUCCCAAUACUCCACAGCACUCCGGUGCCGUGCAUUCCUCUCCAGCUCAAGCUGAGCUUGUCCCAUCGGAGCCUGCAGCAUCAGCACCGCUUUCUAGGCACAGCCUUGUCUGCUGCUCCUCCCACCCCGUGUCCUCUCCAUGCUGGGCUUUCAGCAGCUGGAGCCAUUCUGCAGCUUCUCUGUGCUUCGCUCCUCCCCGGAGGGCAGAUCUGGGCUAAAGCCAAGCACCAGCUCACACAAUCUUCUGUCAUAGACCUUCCACAGGCCUGCAGACAGGACCCAGAGCUCUCCAAGUGCCUUCCUACAGCACACAUACAAGUGGCUGAUAUGCACGGCUAGUAAUGAGGAGCUUUGAUCUAACCAAACUGCUCAGGAACCACAAAACCAUUUACUGGAGGUUCAUUUCCCUGGAGAACACAGGGAAGCAAGAACCUGCAGAAUGGCUCAGAGCAGCCCAUGGCUUUCCACAUCCAACUGGCACUUCUGAAACCCAGCUUCCAGCAGGAGGGAGAGGGGCAGAUACACGGUCCCCCUCCUGAUGGGGGUUCACACAGGACUGGAGGAGAAGGGACACAUUUGGCAAAGGCUGGCAUGGAGGCUCACUUCUGGAAAAGGAAGACAGGUUCCAACAUCAAAUCCACUCCCAUUUCUGGGCAGAUUACAAUGAACAGCACUGAGUUUGAGUAAGGUGGGUUUGUUUUCCAGUUUACAGAAUGCAGUCUUGCCCUUUGUAAAAAAAAAAAAACCCAAAACCAAAACAUAGAAAUAACAAAAAAACCCAAAACAAAACAAAAAAACCCCAAACCUCCAUAAAUAUCAUAUAUCCAAUUUACGCCAAAAAAAAUAAAGGGAAAAAGAAUCCAGAAAAGCUCUUCCCUCCAGGUGCUGGGAGUGACACAGCAGAGAGGACAAAGCUUUGCAUUCAGCAGGGGCAACGCAUCGUGUAACAACAGGUUUGGGAGUGCCCAGAAGUGCCCGUGAGCAGAGGGGAGAGGAAAACUCAGGCAGCACGAGGAGACAAGAAUGACUCUCAGGCAGAGGGGAGGCAGCAGGAGAGCAGAGGACAGAUGAUAUGGCCAUGAACUUGGAAGGCCCACAGCAGUAUUCAAGUAAUGGGAGGGUUUAAACCCUAACGAGGCGUUUGUUUUAAAAGAACACUCUGGCUUUGGGGGGUCUCCUCCUCUCAC
RNAcentral lists this long non-coding RNA (3348 nucleotides) under Strigops habroptila (Kakapo). RNAcentral describes it as "lncRNA (ENSSHBG00005015900.1)". Lineage: Eukaryota; Metazoa; Chordata; Aves; Psittaciformes; Psittacidae. The record is from RNAcentral.